This 253-nucleotide ribosomal RNA is filed under the name uncultured bacterium. Its description in RNAcentral is "partial 16S ribosomal RNA". It matches the Rfam family "Bacterial small subunit ribosomal RNA", at positions 524 to 776 of the family's 1533-position model. The record is from RNAcentral.
UACGUAGGGUGCGAGCGUUAAUCGGAAUUACUGGGCGUAAAGCGCGCGCAGGCGGUUUUUCAAGUCAGUGGUGAAAGCCCGGAGCUCAACUCCGGAACUGCCAUUGAAACUGUAAAACUUGAGGACGAGAGAGGUGAGUGGAAUUCCCAGUGUAGAGGUGAAAUUCGUAGAUAUUGGGAAGAACACCGGUGGCGAAGGCGGCUCACUGGCUCGUAUCUGACGCUCAGGCGCGACAGCGUGGGGAUCAAACAGG